UAGCAUGGGGUAAACAAAUGUGAUUUUUCUGUUGUUGAGAAAUACGUUUUUUGUGCAUUUGGAACAAUUCUGGGAUCUUUAAUUUCAGCUCAUGAUACAUGGGACCAACACUACAGUGCUGAAAAAAGUAACCAAAUGUCAUACUUCAGGCUGAGACACACAAGGUCAGUUUAGGUCUGAGACACACAAGGUCAGUUUAGGUCUGAGACACACAAGGUCAGUUUAGGUCUGAGAUACACAAGGUCAGUUUAGGUCUGAGACACACAAGGUCAGUUUAGGUCUGAGACACACAAGGUCAGUUUAGGUCUGAGACACACAAGGUCAGUUUAGGUCUGAGAUACACAAGGUCAGUUUAGGUCUGAGACACACAAGGUCAGUUUAGGUCUGAGAUACACAAGGUCAGUUUAGGUCUGAGACACACAAGGUCAGUUUAGGUCUGAGAGCCUAUGAAGGGACAAGGUCAGUUUAGGCCUGAGACACACAAGGUCAGUUUAGGUCUGAGAUACACAAGGUCAGUUUAGGUCUGAGACACACAAGGUCAGUUUAGGUCUGAGAUACACAAGGUCAGUUUAGGUCUGAGACACACAAGGUCAGUUUAGGUCUGAGAGCCUAUGAAGGGACAAGGUCAGUUUAGGCCUGAGACACACAAGGUCAGUUUAGGUCUGAGAUACACAAGGUCAGUUUAGGUCUGAGACACACAAGGUCAGUUUAGGUCUGAGACACACAAGGUCAGUUUAGGUCUGAGAUACACAAGGUCAGUUUAGGUCUGAGACACACAAGGUCAGUUUAGGUCUGAGACACACAAGGUCAGUUUAGGUCUGAGACACACAAGGUCAGUUUAGGUCUGAGACACACAAGGUCAGUUUAGGUCUGAGACACACAAGGUCAGUUUAGGUCUGAGAUACACAAGGUCAGUUUAGGUCUGAGACACACAAGGUCAGUUUAGGUCUGAGAUACACAAGGUCAGUUUAGGUCUGAGACACACAAGGUCAGUUUAGGUCUGAGAGCCUAUGAAGGGACAAGGUCAGUUUAGGCCUGAGACACACAAGGUCAGUUUAGGUCUGAGACACACAAGGUCAGUUUAGGUCUGAGAUACACAAGGUCAGUUUAGGUCUGAGACACACAAGGUCAGUUUAGGUCUGAGACACACAAGGUCAGUUUAGGUCUGAGACACACAAGGUCAGUUUAGGUCUGAGAUACACAAGGUCAGUUUAGGUCUGAGACACACAAGGUCAGUUUAGGUCUGAGACACACAAGGUCAGUUUAGGUCUGAGAUACACAAGGUCAGUUUAGGUCUGAGACACACAAGGUCAGUUUAGGUCUGAGAUACACAAGGUCAGUUUAGGUCUGAGAGCCUAUGAAAGGACAAGGUCAGUUUAGGUCUGAGACACACAAGGUCAGUUUAGGUCUGAGAUACACAAGGUCAGUUUAGGUCUGAGACACACAAGGCCAGUUUAGGUCUGAGAGCCUAUGAAGGGACAAGGUCAGUUUAGGUCUGAGAGCCUAUGAAGGGACAAGGUCAGUUUAGGUCUGAGAGCCUAUGAAGGGACACUGUCUGAAUAUCCACAAUACGCACAUGAGCAGACAUUACAUAGGGAUUUUCUUAAUUUCAAUAUGACCUGAAUAAAAAAAGGAUAAUAAAAUAUCACAUUACGACUCCAAGAAUAUGAAUGAAAGAAACAACCCAAGUCAUCAUGUUUUUUUUUUAAGUGAGAAAUCUUUAAAUUAAUUUAAUCAGCAUUAUUUACACAACAACCAACAUGGACUACUCAUACAUGAGAGGAGUAGUACAGCCUGAAUCCCACAGCUGUUUGUGUUGUCUUGCCAAAACUCCCAUGAAGGCUGGGUGCCAGUUGGUUUCUGCUCGCCCUGGCAUGAACAGAGCAGACUGGUAUGUAAAGCCUUGUCCAAGCCAGACAGGCCCAUAGGGCAGCAGUCCAUCUCCUGUUUCUGUAACAUGAGGCAGCAUGUUGUACAAGUACACCCUCCUUGACAGUACGCCCCCUGAAACAGACUGGCACCCAAGCUAACUCCUAUGGUCAUGACUCACAAGGAUUUGGCAAAAUGGCACAAACUGAUCUGGGACACCAGGCUAGGGAGUAAGUAGGCUAUAAUAUGACAGAAAUCCCUUUCGUCUAGAUAUCCCUAUGUUAAAGGUAGAAUACAUGAAGAAAAUUAACAAAAUCACUAGCGACAGCUGGCACCCUAUUCUCUGGUCAAAAUAAGUGCACUAUAUUGGCAGUAAUAGGGUGCCAUUUGCACAGCCUUUAUCAGUGCUCAAUUCUUCUAGGGCUGGAAUUCAGUCAAACUCCUUAUAACAAUGUUUAUGGCAGUGUCUUUGUUUACAAACUAAUGUCCAUGCAUCGCCUUCUCAUUGCGGAAAAACAUGCAUCUAUUUGUGAUGGGGAUACUUCCUCGUGGUAGUAAAGUAUUACCACUGUUCAGGGAUUAGAUCUGACCAUGGGGGUAAAAGAGCUCCUGCAUAAAUACCACAAUGAGUUUGAUUGAAGGCCGAGGCUGUGGAUCAGACUUUUCUGGGCCCCUCGUCCCAACAGCUAAAAGGUCCCGAAGCUUCUGCGCAUGUACGGAAUUCUCUACUUUAAGCAGUCUCAGCUCUACACAUAUACAACCAUCCUUCACAUUCCUAGUGUCAUUGGUGAAUUAGAAUUUUCCCAUUUUCUUUUACAGAUUAAACUUCCAUGCAGCAUCUGCAUAGCAACUAUUUGAUCUCAGUUUCAUGGGGAUAUGCAAUUAGAUCGUUAUGCUAUUUAUAUUCAGUUGCCUAGUUAAAUAUAGGUUAAAUGCAAAUAAAUGUAGAUUGCUAAUAUUGCGUUUUUGCAGACAUUGAUUCAACUGCGACCAAACCUUAUUAAAAGAGCACCAUUCACUAGAAUAGCCGGUUCCCUGCGAGUAGAGCAGAGACUGUGUGUAAAGUAGAGAAUCGCGCACAAUAGCAGAAGCUUCGGGACCUUUAGCUGUCCAGAAGAGGGGUUCAGAAAAGUCCAAUUCUCAGCCACUCCAUUGAUCUAAU
Molecule: long non-coding RNA, 3031 nt
Organism: Oncorhynchus keta (chum salmon)
Lineage: Eukaryota; Metazoa; Chordata; Actinopteri; Salmoniformes; Salmonidae
Exons: 3
Source: RefSeq, a predicted model, not a curated record